This 27-nucleotide non-coding RNA is filed under the name Homo sapiens (human). Lineage: Eukaryota; Metazoa; Chordata; Mammalia; Primates; Hominidae. The record is from RNAcentral.
UGAACUGACAGGAUGCCCGCUACUAUU